This 1101-nucleotide long non-coding RNA is filed under the name Fragaria vesca (wild strawberry). RNAcentral's name for it is "long non-coding RNA (FVES_LNC004584)". Lineage: Eukaryota; Viridiplantae; Streptophyta; Magnoliopsida; Rosales; Rosaceae. The record is from RNAcentral.
GUGAACCAACAAUUGAUCUACCGAAUGAACUAUAUCAAGAGGAAUCUCCACAUGUAGUCCCCGAUACUGAGGAUAUUCGUGUCAACAACCAACACGUUCCGGCUAUCAUAGGUUACCUUCCAAUUACACCAUCUGAACUGAACUCGCAACAACGUCGCAACCCCGGCCCCAAUCAUGAUGACGACGGCUUCAUAGAUGACGAAUACAUAGAGGAUGAUGAGUAUUCUGACCAAACUGAGAAGGAUGAUGAUUCGGACGACUCAAAUUAUCAUGAGUACGAUUAAUAUUAUACUUGUUCCAUAUUAUUGUGGAUUUCGAUCGGUCUAAUCUGCUUGUAUUAAUUAAUUUGGCAUAACUUCGGAUAUGUAUUUUCAAAUUAACUUGAUGCUUAGAUAUCAUUCAUGAAGGCUGGCUAUUUUUAAUUUCUACGUACUUACGUAUAUAAGCGCAUGCUUGAUGAAUUCGAAUUAUUGUGUAUACGUACGUGUAAUUUUUAAAAUGCAUAUGUACGUAUGCGUUUUUCUAUAAGAAUAAAUUUUUAUGUAACUUAGGUGACGGAAUUUAAUAAUUCGUCGCCUUAGUACUUCCAAGGUGACGGAAUUUGACCAUUUCGUCGGUUUAGUAUUAUUAAGGCGACGGAACGUGGUUGUUUCCGUCGCCUAGAAUCCCGAAAUAUUAGGCGGGGGAAUUUUGCGCCAUUUUUUUGGGGCCAAAAUUUAAUUUUUUAGGCGACGAAUAAAUUUCUUAGCCGACAAAAUAUUCCAUCGGUUAAGACUUAGGCGACGGAAAUUGGAGUGGUCGUCGCCUUAGUUUUACUAAGCCGACGGAAGUAAUCUUGUUCCGUCGGCUAAGAUAAAUACAAACUCUUUUUCUGAGACAGGUCCUAAAAUCCAAACUCAUAAACACACUCUCACAUAAACCGAUCCCUAAAACCCGACUAAGGUCCUCCCAGAGCUGCGCGACCCGACCGGAAUCCACCGCCUCCACCCAUCGGAGACCCCGCCAUCCACCCAUCGACGACCGCAUCGACGCCACCCACCUCCUCCGAUCUCGCUACACAGUCCUUCUGUCUCCGAUCUCGCCACCCAGCAAACCCAAUUU